RNAcentral lists this ribosomal RNA (542 nucleotides) under Separatista helicoides. RNAcentral's name for it is "partial 12S ribosomal RNA". Lineage: Eukaryota; Metazoa; Mollusca; Gastropoda; Littorinimorpha; Capulidae. The record is from RNAcentral.
CAAGGAGUCAAGUUAUAUCUUAGAGGUAGAAAAAGGCAGUUAGACAAAACUAGUGCUAAUUAAUUUCUUUAUAUAUGGGUAAAAUCUGGGUAUAAAGUCAUGAACUAACAAGGCAAAUAUGUUGAAUCCGCGACAAUCUUGAGGGAAACUGGGAUUAGAUACCCCAUUAUUCUUGAAUAUAAAUUGAUUUUAUUUACCUGAGUACUACGAAUAUAAAUAAUUUAAAACUCAAAGAGCUUGGCGGUGUUUUAGACCUCUCAGGGGAACCUGUCUCAUAAUCGACAAUCCACGUAGAACCUAACCUUUUUUUGUAUCCAGUUUGUAUACCGUUGUCGCCAGGUAACUUUUAAAAAUUAAGAAGUUGGCAAAAAAACAUUUAUGUUAGGACGUCAAAUCAAGGUGCAGCUUAUAAAAAGGAGUAGAUGGGUUACAAUUAAAAUUUAUAAUUACGGAAAUUUGCAGUAAAAGCGUUUCGAAGGAGGACUUGAAAGUAAUGUUGAUUAAAAAAAUAACUUGAAUUAGGCUCUGAAACGUGCACACAU